RNAcentral lists this ribosomal RNA (501 nucleotides) under uncultured bacterium. RNAcentral's name for it is "bacterial SSU rRNA". It matches the Rfam family "Bacterial small subunit ribosomal RNA", at positions 30 to 524 of the family's 1533-position model. The record is from RNAcentral.
AUUGAACGCUGGCGGCAGGCUUAACACAUGCAAGUCGAGCGGUAACAGGAGAAGCUUGCUUCUUGCUGACGAGCGGCGGACGGGUGAGUAAUACUUAGGAAUCUGCCCAGUAGUGGGGGAUAGCACGGGGAAACUCGUAUUAAUACCGCAUACACCCUACGGGGAAAAGGGGGCGCUUGCGCUCUCGCUAUUGGAUGAGCCUAAGUCGGAUUAGCUAGUUGGUGGGGUAAAGGCCUACCAAGGCGACGAUCUGUAGCUGGUCUGAGAGGAUGAUCAGCCACACCGGGACUGAGACACGGCCCGGACUCCUACGGGAGGCAGCAGUGGGGAAUAUUGGACAAUGGGGGCAACCCUGAUCCAGCCAUGCCGCGUGUGUGAAGAAGGCCUUUUGGUUGUAAAGCACUUUAAGCAGUGAAGAAGACUCUAUGGUUAAUACCCAUAGACGAUGACAUUAGCUGCAGAAUAAGCACCGGCUAACUCUGUGCCAGCAGCCGCGGUAAU